Molecule: unclassified non-coding RNA, 380 nt
Filed under: uncultured Sphingomonadaceae bacterium
Lineage: Bacteria; Pseudomonadati; Pseudomonadota; Alphaproteobacteria; Sphingomonadales; Sphingomonadaceae
Description: contains 16S-23S intergenic spacer region
Source: RNAcentral
UCCGAGUUGACCCCGGCAGUCUCCUACGAGUCCCCGGCAUUAUCCGCUGGCAACAUAGGACGAGGGUUGCGCUCGUUGCGGGACUUAACCCAACAUCUCACGACACGAGCUGACGACAGCCAUGCAGCACCUGUGUGUAGGUCCCGUAAGGGAAGGAAACUGUCUCCAGUAACCGUCCUACCAUGUCAAACGCUGGUAAGGUUCUGCGCGUUGCUUCGAAUUAAACCACAUCAUCCACCGCUUGUGCGGGUCCCCGUCAAUUUCUUUGAGUUUUAACCUUGCGGCCGUACUCCCCAGGCGGAUAACUUAAUGCGUUAGCUGCGCCACCGAAAGCCUAAGGCCCCCGACAGCUAGUUAUCAUCGUUUACGGCGUGGACUAC